This 446-nucleotide ribosomal RNA is filed under the name uncultured bacterium. RNAcentral's name for it is "partial 16S ribosomal RNA". It matches the Rfam family "Bacterial small subunit ribosomal RNA", at positions 338 to 795 of the family's 1533-position model. The record is from RNAcentral.
CCUACGGGUGGCAGCAGUCGAGAAUCAUUCACAAUGGGGGAAACCCUGAUGGUGCGACGCCGCGUGGGGGAAUGAAGGUCUUCGGAUUGUAAACCCCUGUCAUGUGGGAGCAAAGCAAAAAGAUAGUACCACAAGAGGAAGAGACGGCUAACUCUGUGCCAGCAGCCGCGGUAAUACAGAGGUCUCAAGCGUUGUUCGGAAUCACUGGGCGUAAAGCGUGCGUAGGCUGUUUCGUAAGUCGUGUGUGAAAGGCGCGGGCUCAACCCGCGGACGGCACAUGAUACUGCGAGACUAGAGUAGUGGAGGGGGAAGCGGAAUUCGCGGUGUAGCAGUGAAAUGCGUAGAUAUCGCGAAGAACACUGGUGGCGAAGGCGGGUUCCUGGACAUUAACUGACGCUGAGGCACGAAGGCCAGGGGAGCGAAAGGGAUUAGAUACCCGAGUAGUC